Molecule: long non-coding RNA, 730 nt
Organism: Python bivittatus (Burmese python)
Lineage: Eukaryota; Metazoa; Chordata; Lepidosauria; Squamata; Pythonidae
Source: RefSeq, a predicted model, not a curated record
UUUCCGCCACGGGCUGAAAUCGAAGGAAGGAAGGAGGCAGAGCGUUUCCUUUAUAUAGAUAGGCCGGAAAGAGGGUCCGGCUUGCGGCUUUCUGCGCAUGCGUGAGAAGGAACGCUGACGUAAACUAGAACUCACAAACCCAUUCCCCGCCUUUCUUUCUUUGGGGACUGUCACAAAUAGCCCUUGCCGCCGCCGCGGCGAAUGGAGCGCUGAGAUUCUGCGCAUGCUCAUGGUCAUUAAGUGAAUUACCAUGGACAUUAAGCAAAUCACACAGUAGUUAACUGAAUCACGCGGUUCCCCAUUGAUAUUGCUUGCUGGAAGCCGGCUGGUAAGGUCACAAAUGGCGAUUACGUGACCCCGGGGUGCUACACCUGGUUGCCGAGUGCCCAGAUCAUGAUCAUGUGACCACGGGGUUGCUGCGAUGGUUGUAAAGAUGGUCUUCAAGUCAAGCUGAUGACUGCAUCCAUGUAGCUUUCUUGGCAAUAUUGAGGAACUGCCUUCUUCCAGAAUGUUUUUUUUUUAAUUUUCUAGUCUAGCUUACAGCCCUGGGAUUUCCUGAUGGCCUCCCAUCCAAAUAUUAAUCCAACCUGACUCUGCUUAGUUUCCAGACCCAGACAAAGGCAGCCAGGUGCUAGCUCCUAUUGGGAAAUUUACUUCCUGGUUGUACAGGUAGUCCUCACUUAACGACCAUUCAUUUAGUGACUGUUCAAAGUUACAACAGUGCUGAAAA